Long non-coding RNA from Oreochromis aureus, 671 nucleotides. The record is from Ensembl. NCBI's taxonomy places the organism in Eukaryota, Metazoa, Chordata, Actinopteri, Cichliformes, Cichlidae.
CUCAGUUUGUACAGUUUGUACAGCUACUUUGUAAACAGAAUAAAAUCAGAUCCAGGUUUGUUUAAUCUGGAUGUGAUGCGUGUUCUAGCAAACAAAUUGAUGAGUGUAGAUUAAAAUGUAAAUAUAUACAUUAUGUGAAGGUGUGAAUUUUUUAUGAUUAUUUACAGAUAGCAACAAGAGGCGACACAGAAUUCGCAAGGUCAUCUUAGUUGAGAAGAAACGCUUGGCGGCUGCUGUUGACGACUACAACAAGCUUGCUGAACCAACAAAGCAAAUCGUAUCCAGUGAUGCCCUCAUCCAGACCGACGUUUGGCCCUGGCAGAGCACAAGUGAACCUGCUGCUCAACUCCAGACAAAGAGAAAGGUCUUUGAGAAUGUGAUGGCUGUGAGGCGCCUGAGAGAGGAGGAGAUGAUCCUUUGCAGGGAGAUGCGGCAUCACUGGACAGUGUUGCGAAUGCGAUCUGUGGUGUUGGGGACAAUCUCCUCAGACUCCUCCCUUGUUGGCAUGUUGGAGGAUGCACAGAAGGGACUCCAUAGCCUGGUUUUAAAAAAACAAAGUGAACUGAAAGCUGAAAUGCUCAAAGUAAAGGACAUGUACAAGAGAAUCCUCAGCCACCAACCACUCCUGGAAAUGGACUCGGAGGAGGAGGAAGACAUUCCAGAUGAUGCCA